AGUGGCGGACGGGUGAGUAAUACGUAGGAAUCUAGCCGAUAGUGGGGGAUAACCUGGGGAAACUCAGGCUAAUACCGCAUACGCGGGAGGAAAGCGGCGCUAGCGGAUGAGCCUACGUCGGAUUAGCUAGUUGGUAGGGUAAGGGCCUACCAAGGCGACGAUCCGUAGCUGGUCUGAGAGGAUGAUCAGCCACACUGGGACUGAGACACGGCCCAGACUCCUACGGGAGGCAGCAGUGGGGAAUCUUGGACAAUGGGCGCAAGCCUGAUCCAGCAAUGCCGCGUGGGUGAAGACGGCCUGCGGGUUGUAAAGCCCUUUCGGAGGGGAAGACCGACGUUACCCUUUGAAUAAGCACCGGCCAACUCCGUGCCAGCAGCCGCGGUAAUACGGAGGGUGCGAGCGUUAAUCGGAAUUACUGGGCGUAAAGCGCACGUAGGCGGCGCGUCGAGUCGGUGGUGAAAGCCCCGGGCUUAACCUGGGAAUGGCAAUUGAUAC
Molecule: ribosomal RNA, 495 nt
Filed under: uncultured soil bacterium
Lineage: Bacteria
Description: bacterial SSU rRNA
Rfam family: Bacterial small subunit ribosomal RNA
Source: RNAcentral